CCUGCUGCAGUUAACUGUUCUUAAUCAAGGCCAGGUUAAGUGGGAUCUGGGGUGGGGGGAGAAUGCUGAGAAAGCUCCAGUACUCUGCAUUUAUUUGUGUCAAAUCCUCCCUAUAUGAGGUGUCCUGGGGCAGGCUCAGGGAAGACAAAAACCUGGGGAGCAGAAUGGCAAAAGUACACUUAAUCUCAAUUUUCAGUGGGAAUACAGACCAUGCUAGCAUGGCCUCAGGUCUUCUGACCGUCUAGGUUUUAAGCAAGUGAUGUCAGAAAAGUUACCACAGAGAAAAUGCCCUGAGGCAGUCAAGUGUUAGCAAACUUAUUUCAGUCCUUGGAUGUCAGAUUUUCGUGUCACCACAGAACAGAAGUCACUGAGUGCUGGGCAGUUCACCCUCUAACAAUGAACGUGAGCUGGGUUUAGACUGCCGUGAGACACAUUA
This 436-nucleotide non-coding RNA is filed under the name Anas platyrhynchos (mallard). RNAcentral's name for it is "Eukaryotic large subunit ribosomal RNA". It matches the Rfam family "Eukaryotic large subunit ribosomal RNA", at positions 2555 to 2985 of the family's 3401-position model. Lineage: Eukaryota; Metazoa; Chordata; Aves; Anseriformes; Anatidae. The record is from Rfam by way of RNAcentral.